Molecule: non-coding RNA, 152 nt
Organism: Procavia capensis (Cape rock hyrax)
Lineage: Eukaryota; Metazoa; Chordata; Mammalia; Hyracoidea; Procaviidae
Source: Rfam
AAGAUGACAGAGAGACUGAAUUAUGUAAAGAUUGGAGAGUAGUCAAGACAUGAGUGGCUAUCUUAAGAUAAGGAAGGAUAUGUAAAGAAAAAGACACACAACUGAAGAAAAUAGACUGAUGGAUUAAGGUGUUCACUGUGUCACAUUUUCUU